CUGUGUGCUGUGUUCAGCGGAGGCACCCACCUUAUGCUCCAAGGUGAGUCUCCCUCUCUCCUUCCUCUUUGGGGUCUGCACUGAAAUCGAGGGCUUUUUUCUUCCUUUGUUUCCUGACUUGGGUUGAGGUAGGACUCUCUGGGCCUGUAACCCUCAUUCUUUUAGAAUGUCCCUUCACUUUAGCCUUUCACUCUUCUCUGACCCCUGGAGCGGACAUCAUGAGACAAUCCCCGUGACCCCUUCCUGCUCUCUCCUUUUGACCCUGAGCUCUCUCUUCAGAGGAGCUCCUUCUCUGGACUCUGGGGCUGAAGUCAUCUUCAUUUUCCCUGGAGGGGUAGUUCCACUCUUGCCCAUUAUGCCCAGAGAAUAUUCCAGAACAGGAGAUUAGGGUAGCAGAGCCCAGGAUAACCACCCUACACACUUUCCCUAUAUUCACUAUUCUUUUGUGGACCAUGUCCACCUCCAGCCAUCCUGGGGCCCACUCAUGGUCUCCAGGAUGACGUCUGAGCUCCUCCUCGGAAUCAUGGGUCCUCACAGUCUGGUAAUGUGGGACAAGAAUCCCCCUCCUUGAAAGGGAGGAGAGCCUGAAACCAAUAUGGAUGGACAUCCUGUAUGAAGACACGGGGGAGACGGAUCUGGAGGGAGAUCUUCAGGCAGACAGAUGCCCCAGGACAGACAGAUUCCCCAAGGAAAGAUGAGACCUCAAGGCUGAUGCCAGCCAGCGCCAAGGGAGCAGAGCGUGGGAGGAGGAAUUAUGAGGACGUGUGAGCCUGAAGAGACAGAGGCCAAAGAGAGCACCCAAACUCCCCAGUCUCUCCAGGAUUCUCGCAGUGGGCUGGGGGAAUCCUUGGCACCCAGUGGGAAAGUAACCCAAGCGGAGAGGCUCACAGUCCCCCAGGGGCAUCUCCCAGGAAACCAGCCAGGACAUGAGAAGUCCAGUCACCGAACAUCAGUCCCUCUGCUCUCUCCUUACUCCUGUUCCUCUUCCAUCACAGGGCUGUGCCCACUCCUUGCCACCUCCCUGGUCGGAGCUGUCCAUGGCCAAUAGCCUCUAGAUAAGUCUCGCUCUCUGCCCCAGUUGGGACCCUCUACAUCCUCCUGUCCUCUCUUUCCUCAGCCUGGAGUCCCUGUUCUGGCCUGGACCCCCUCUAUUCCUGGCCCUCACUCCUUGGGAUGCCCUCCUCCCUUCCCAGCUCAGCUCUUGUCUACCCUCACCCCUCCCUGUUACUCCCAAGGGCUGGACCAUCCAUGGGGUCCAGGACACUCCAGCAGCUUCCUGGGCUCUUAAAUCCGGGACCCAUCUCAAUUCCUCACCCGAUGGCAGGUUCAGAGAUGUAAGAGGACUUGGAGGAAGCCAGGAAGGA
RNAcentral lists this long non-coding RNA (1364 nucleotides) under Equus asinus (donkey). Its description in RNAcentral is "lncRNA (ENSEASG00005035321.1)". The record is from RNAcentral. Lineage: Eukaryota; Metazoa; Chordata; Mammalia; Perissodactyla; Equidae.